Molecule: long non-coding RNA, 698 nt
Filed under: Ananas comosus (pineapple)
Lineage: Eukaryota; Viridiplantae; Streptophyta; Magnoliopsida; Poales; Bromeliaceae
Description: long non-coding RNA (ACOM_LNC001115)
Source: RNAcentral
GUUUAACGUACCGAGUAAGAAUAUAUUUUAAGUUUUCAGUUUCAACCCCAUUUGGUCACCGAAAAUUGUACCGAACUGUAAUCUUUAUCAGAUAGCUGUCGUAUUCUAUUUCUCACUCUACGGGUGUCAGAAAAAUAUGAAACUUUAAAUCUAGCCUCAUAAAAUAUUUCUGACAUAUCCUCCAAUUUUCAUAAUUUUCUGAGACUGUGCAUUUUCUGCUAAUUUAUCUGUCCCGUUUCCAACAGAAAAUUCUAAAUCUUCUGUUUUCAUUCCGAUUUCAGCACAAGUCACUUCUGACUUAUGUUUUACUUCUACAAAUUCAAUAAAAAUAGUUUCUCACACUAUUUUUAUUUAUUUUUAUUUUUAUACUAAAAUCUGGUAUGUUACAUUCUCCACCCCUUAAAAAGAAUUUCGUCCGCGAAAUUCAAACCACGCCUCAAUUCAGCUCCGCGAGCAAUUGAGGGUACCAACUCUUUCUCCCACUCCAGAGCGGCUUCACACUAUCGUUGUUCCAGAAGCGGCUCAUACCGAAGGACGUGGGUUUAAUCCUAAACUCAUUUGCAAAGUGUGAUACAAACGUGCAUCACGGGUCUUACAAGUCAUAGUGGCAGCGCAAGUCGGUACUCGACGACUCUACGCGCUCCAACACCACUCACCAUUCGAUACACAAAGAACUCUUCUUUGCACUUACCUUCCCU